This 484-nucleotide ribosomal RNA is filed under the name uncultured bacterium. RNAcentral describes it as "partial 16S ribosomal RNA". It matches the Rfam family "Bacterial small subunit ribosomal RNA", at positions 29 to 507 of the family's 1533-position model. The record is from RNAcentral.
AUUGAACGCUGGCGGAAUGCUUUACACAUGCAAGUCGAACGGCAGCACGGGGGCAGCCCUGGUGGCGAGUGGCGAACGGGUGAGUAAUACAUCGGAACGUGCCCGGUCGUGGGGGAUGACGUAGCGAAAGUUACGCUAAUACCGCAUACGAUCUGAGGAUGAAAGCGGGGGACCUUCGGGCCUCGCGCGAUCGGAGCGGCCGAUGUCAGAUUAGGUAGUUGGUGGGGUAAAGGCCUACCAAGCCGACGAUCUGUAGCUGGUCUGAGAGGACGACCAGCCACACUGGGACUGAGACACGGCCCAGACUCCUACGGGAGGCAGCAGUGGGGAAUUUUGGACAAUGGGCGCAAGCCUGAUCCAGCCAUGCCGCGUGCAGGACGAAGGCCUUCGGGUUGUAAACUGCUUUUGUACGGAACGAAAAGGCUCUGGCUAAUACCUGGGGCUCAUGACGGUACCGUAAGAAUAAGCACCGGCUAACUACGUG